CCACAAUCUUCAUUUUCCCAAACGACCUCUACACCUACACAAUGUUCACACAGUGGUUGAACAAUACAGUCCACCUACUCAUUUUACAUAUCAUCUAUGUCUUUAGGUUGAUCAUCCUGUGUCCUUGACCAUCAGAUUAAUUAGAGUUUAUUUACAAAAUAGAACCAUUUUGUGUUAUAUUGUUAAAUUGGCUGCCAAACUAUGCAAUCUGCUUGAUAGCUUGAUGUUCAUAUCUCCAAGAUUGUUGCUGACAGAAGCAAGCAUACCAACAGAAGAUGUUGCUGUCACGGUGGUGCAUCUUAAUGUCUACCUUUUUCCACUGAUCAAACCAUGUUUUGAGUUGAUAACCAGCUAGCUCAACUCUCUCAAUGUUAGCAACAUGCAUAACCUCGAACACCUUUUUCAGUUCCUCAGUGAAGUUCUCUCGAUCCUCAGUAGUUCUCGAACUAUUAAAGCUUGGGGGAUUCAUCCUUAUAGCCUCACGGAACUCAGGUUGCAAUUCAGGUGCAUUGGGUAACUCUUGUUCCUGAUGUUCAACAUUCCUUCUAGCUGGAUGAUCUCUUGAUGCUAUUCGUCGAGGAAGAUUAUAUGAAAACACACGCAAGCACGAGUCAGAGAAAAACUUUUAGAGCUAAAUUCUAAUACACGAAUGUAAUAUGAAAGUAGUGAAGAAUUUACUAAAUGUCGCAGGCUUCUAAUUAUAGAUGUGGCGCACUACACAUUAUAAACACGACUCUAAAGACAUGAAUACUCUUCGCCAGGAUCAAGAUGGUUCUCCUGAUGUAGUCACUGAUUAAUUAGAGAUUAUUGACAAAAUGGAACCAUCUUGUGUAAAUUGCUUCCAAACUAUACCAUCUGCUCGGUAUCUUAAUGUUCAUAUUUCCCAGACUGUUGCAGACCAGAAGCAGGCAUAUUAGAAGAAGCUCCUUCUAUCACGGUAUGAUUGCACAAACAGCAGUAGAAACAGUUUGAAUGCUCAGAUUGGCGUAUUUUGCAUUAUUUAAGCCUCCAACUCCAAAAAAAUUGGUUCACCAGAUUGUCCCCCGGUGACUUCGCCGAGGGUUCAAUUAGUGAUGGGAGAUAUUUAGCCUAAAAAAAGGGGUGGUGUUGUCAAGGAGAAGGCAAAGCACAUCAUCAUUAUUUUUCAUGGCUUCGAUAGUUCUAAAAACUUGAUGUUACCAUUAUCUGAAGUAUGAAAACUUUUAUAAUUUCAUAUUUAGCAUCAAUAUCAAGUUUUCUUGCUCCUGCAAUAAGUUUGAAACUCUGAAAAGUCUUGCUGAGAUCAAUUGUCUGGCUUUCAACCAUAUUACAAAGUGCAAGCAAACUUGGACAUAACAUACAUGAUAGAUACUAAAAUGAAUACGCUAAAUAUGGAGUUUUAAAAGUUUUCAUACUUGGGAUAUCGGCAACCUCAAGUCUUUGCACUAUCAAGUCCCUGAAUAGAAUGAACUUGUGAUUUUCCUUCUUCUUGGCAACGCAACCCUCUUUGUAGGCUACAUAUCUCCCAUCAGUGAGUUGGACCCUUGUGGAAGUCACCGGAGGACAAUCUGGUGAGCCACAAACAUUUGGAGGGGGGAGGUUUAAGUAAUGUCAAAUAAGCCCAUCCGAGCAUUCCAAGAUCAUGAUAUUGAAUCCAAGGGAUCUUCUCUUCUAGAUAACAAUUGAGUUCGCGUGCAAUAAGUCUGUCAUAGAGUCCUUGCCAAAGUUGGACCGAACCUUUGUUAUCUAGAAAAAGGAAUUACCAAUCCAUUGGAGCAAAAUCACAAUUUUCAAGCUAACUAUCAAGUCAUGAUGCAAAGAUUCAAACUCGCCUUAAUUUCAUGCCUUCUCCUGGACAAAGACAUAGUUCCAGAAUUAUGACAAACAUAAUGGUUAGCAAAUACUAUCUAUGUUAGUGCAACAUUAGAUGUUUUGGGGGGUGGAAAAGUUACAUUAUAUAUACAAAGUAAAUAUGUACAUCUUUUUAUGUAUAUAGUAGAGAUAUUGACAGAUUUGUUAAUUCACAAUGAUAGUUAUUCUGAAACCAUAUUAAGGGAACUUUUCACUAGUUAACGGUGAGCUUCGGAGCAACACUAACGUUGUCUCUGUGUGACCUAUAGGCCACGUGGAAGAAACCAUGUACUUGAACCAGAGUAAGAUGCCCAUAUCACGUCCGUUAUAAGGUGCAUCCCUUUCACCAACGUUGCUAACGUGGAUGCUUUGUGCACCUUGCUUCCCCUUUUGCAUGUAUGGUAACUUGAAAGAAACUUAAUGCAACAACAUUUGUGAUAAAUAUCAAUAU
Long non-coding RNA from Solanum lycopersicum (tomato), 2281 nucleotides. RefSeq lists it as uncharacterized. The record is from RefSeq and is a predicted model, not a curated record. Lineage: Eukaryota; Viridiplantae; Streptophyta; Magnoliopsida; Solanales; Solanaceae.